Molecule: long non-coding RNA, 1654 nt
Organism: Syzygium oleosum
Lineage: Eukaryota; Viridiplantae; Streptophyta; Magnoliopsida; Myrtales; Myrtaceae
Exons: 2
Source: RefSeq, a predicted model, not a curated record
GGGCUCGGAUAUCGUGCGGAGGCCGAUUGUGUGGCCGGCGAAGGAUUUGGUUGGGGAUUCGGUGGAGGACGAGAGCGUCCGGAGGAGUGGAGAAGGCUGAUUUGAGCGGCAGAGGAAGCGAAGACAGUGAAGAGGAAGUGCAGGAAGAGGAGGAGGAAGAGUGGGUUGAUUGGGAGGAUAAGAUAUUGGAGGACACGGUGCCUGUGGUUGGCUUUGUGAGGAUGAUUCUGCACUCUGGAAGGUACGUAUUGAGGCGGCUCUGACAUUACGUAUGUUGGCUGAGGUUGAUCCAACAUGUGUUGGAGGUUUGAGAUCUAAUAGGCAAUGCCUAAAUAAUAUUUAACUUACAUAACAUUUAUGAGAACAAAAUGAUCUACAUAAGUCCCUUACUCUAUAAACAGCCAACUGGAUACACCGAAUAUUGGGUAUAGUCACUCGAAACAUGUAUGAUUAUUCACCAACUAGAAUGAUCUAUGUGCUUGAUAAAAUAGUUGGAAAGCUUUUCCAUUCAUGAAGAGGUAAAAGCACUAUCUAGUACUCUGAAAUGCCUUAAGAUCGUUCCUGUUAAUUCUUUUCCCACUUUUGUCCUGUAGAGUAAGGAACUUAAUCCAACUUCUUUGGAACUCCUCCCAACCUCUGCUGGCUGAAGCAUUUAAGUAUUAAAUCAUGUAUCCAUCUAACUAUUUGCCUCCCAUUUAUUUAUUUAUUCAUACGCUUGAAUUAUAAGUCACAUCUUAGUCUAUGCUCAUGAGAACAUAUUUGCCUCCCAUGUCGUUGUUCUGUUAGUAUUUUGUCUGCAUAUUUAUAUGUCGAUGAACUAAACUUUGGGCUUCUGUUUGGCCAUCUACUUGCACAAGUGGUAAUAUAAUUAAAUACAUUAUUAGAUUUCCUCCAAUGCUCUUCAUGUUUGCUUUGCUGUGUUCGUUCUAUUUUUCUUUUCGAGGAAAUUUUGGAUUCCAAAAUGUGCUGGGUGUUGUUAGUAACCCAACCUUAUCUUCCAAUCAAAGAAAUUAAAUUUGUGAUGCUGCUUUUGAAAAUUUUCAUAUUUUGUGUUACUCUCACGUGGUGCCUUCAAUUCCUGAUGAUAGCAAGUUAAAUUUGCUUAACAUAAUGCUACCUUUUAGGAUGAAAUUUUUCAGUAACAUUUACAUGAUAUUGUUCUUUUCAGAUUCAGUGCCCCAUUUUGUAUUAUGAUUAAUGAGCACUGUCCUUGACUUCUCGUUAGUGGUAAGUGAUUUUUCAACAAUUUCUCUCUGUAUAAUGAGAAUUGUCUCUCACGCUUUGAAUUGAUCAAGCCUGUGUCAUACUAAUGCGCUGCGUCUAUCCACUUUCAGGCGACACUGCAUCGACGGGGAAAAGAAAUUCGGAGUCCAAUCCUUUUGCACUAGCUUUAUCUUUGGAAUGUCGACCCAUGAUGAUGUAUUAGUAAUUGGAGCAAGCCAGUCUUACUUAGGAGUGAAAAAAUUUCAGUCAUUGCUGUCCGUUAUUGUUGUUUUAGUUUCUUUCUUUUUUUUUAGUUACUUUGUACUACAGAACUUGUUCUGCGAUGGUAUUGUUUUAGUUUCUUUCUUUUUUUUUUAGUUACUUUGUACUACAAAACUUGUUCUGCGAUGGUACUCACGCAAUGAGAGUGGGAAGAAAAGAGAUUCUGGCG